GACGAACGCUGGCGGCGUGCUUAACACAUGCAAGUCGAACGGUGAAGCGCCUUCCUUUUUGGUGGGUGUGGAUGAGUGGCGAACGGGUGAGUAACACGUGGGUAACCUGCCCCCUUCUUCUGGAUAACCGCAUGAAAGUGUGGCUAAUACGGGAUAUUCUGGGUCUGUCGCAUGAUGGGUCUGGGAAAGAUAUUGUUUCGGUGGGGGAUGGGCUCGCGGCCUAUCAGCUUGUUGGUGGGGUGAUGGCCUACCAAGGCGGUGACGGGUAGCCGGCCUGAGAGGGUGGACGGUCAUACUGGGACUGAGACACGGCCCAGACUCCUACGGGAGGCAGCAGGGGGGAAUAUUGCACAAUGGGCGCAAGCCUGAUGCAGCGACGCCGCGUGAGGGAUGGAGGCCUUCGGGUUGUGAACCUCUUUCGCCAGUGAAGCAGGCCUGCCUCGUUUGUGGGUGGGUUGACGGUAGCUGGAUAAGAAGCGCCGGCUAACUACGUG
RNAcentral lists this ribosomal RNA (494 nucleotides) under uncultured bacterium. RNAcentral describes it as "partial 16S ribosomal RNA". It matches the Rfam family "Bacterial small subunit ribosomal RNA", at positions 28 to 507 of the family's 1533-position model. The record is from RNAcentral.